GAAAUGCGAUAAGUAGUGUGAAUUGCAGAAUUCAGUGAAUCAUCGAAUCUUUGAACGCACAUUGCGCCCUUUGGUAUUCCUUAGGGCAUGCCUGUUCGAGCGUCAUCUAAACCCUCAAGCACUGCUUGGUGUUGGGUGCCUGUCCCGCCCCCGCGCGUGGACUCACCUCAAAUCCAUUGGCGGCCCCCUUCGUCGGCUCCGAGCGCAGCAGAAACGCGAACUCGUGGGCCCGACGGGGUGGCUCCCAGAAGCUACCAUCACCAUUUUGACCUCGGAUCAGGUAGGGAUACCCGCUGAACUUAA
This 303-nucleotide unclassified non-coding RNA is filed under the name uncultured fungus. RNAcentral's name for it is "sequence contains ITS1". The stretch from base 1 to 105 matches the Rfam family "5.8S ribosomal RNA", at positions 50 to 154 of the family's 154-position model. Lineage: Eukaryota; Fungi. The record is from RNAcentral.